CCUACGGGGGGCAGCAGUGGGGAAUAUUGCACAAUGGGGGAAACCCUGAUGCAGCGACGUCGCGUGAGUGAAGAAGUAUUUCGGUAUGUAAAGCUCUAUCAGCAGGGAAGAAAAUGACGGUACCUGAUUAAGAAGCCCCGGCUAACUACGUGCCAGCAGCCGCGGUACUACGUAGGGGGCAAGCGUUAUCCGGAUUUACUGGGUGUAAGGGGAGCGUAGACGGCAGCACAAGUCUGGAGUGAAAUGCCGGGGCUUAACCCCGGAACUGCUUUGGAAACUGUGCAGCUAGAGUGCAGUAGAGGUAAGUGGAAUUCGUAGUGUAGCGGUGAAAUGCGUAGAUAUUAGGAGGAACACCAGUUGCGAAGGCGGCUUACUGGACUGUAACUGACGUUGAGGCUCGAAAGCGUGGGGAGCAAACAGGAUUAGAUACCCGUGUAGUC
RNAcentral lists this ribosomal RNA (440 nucleotides) under uncultured bacterium. Its description in RNAcentral is "partial 16S ribosomal RNA". It matches the Rfam family "Bacterial small subunit ribosomal RNA", at positions 338 to 795 of the family's 1533-position model. The record is from RNAcentral.